CUGUCAGAGAGGGCUCGAUUUCCUAUAUUCUGACCACGUUUCCUUACCUCUGGUUCUCUUGUUAGCUGCUGGAGGAGGGCACUCCAAAGCUGAAGCGGAACAUGGCUGCUGGUGAGCAUUCUUGGCAGACAGUGCGGAGGCUCACUAGAACCCGCAGACAGACCCCACCAUGUCGACGUUUCUGUUUCAACUGGAGAACCUUUUUAGAUCCAGUCAAAAAAAAUUAAAGUUCCUCUGCUUGAAAAACGCCUGCAAAAUUCCAUCAUACCUUUGCAGAGACUUGUUUGGGUGGCUAAGGGAGAAGGUUCCAGCCCCUCAGGAGCUAAGAUGUACAUUCAAGGAGUUCUAUUGGCCUUGCACCAACGAUUAAAGUCUGCAAAAAACUAUUGUAAACAGGUUCCACAUAAAAGCACCAAUACCCCCAAAUCUACAGCUGUUCUCCAAACCUUUAGAUGCCCAUUGAAUGCCAGAAGGUCUGCUGGGGGAAGAGCUGCUAAGCUGACUGUGGCUGUGGUGGAGAAACUGGAUGAGAAACAUCCUAAGGCCUCUGCUCAAAGGUGGGCCAUCAAUCAUGGAGGGACAACAAGCCAAACCAGUGGGAGCAUUCCAGAGUUGGGGAUCCCUUAUGGAAUAAGCUUACAUAUAUGUGAGCAGUCCUUAGUCAACGGAGAACUCGAUGAGAAAUGUUGACCCUGAAAGGAAGUACAACGUGGAAGGUGUUGCCAGUGAGAACUAUGAAAUAGAAACAAACCCAGUGGAAUUCUGGCACUUUCUAGAGAGGCAAAUGUGUAAACAUUUGUGACACUAAAUGAAGCUGUCUUUUCCUGAUCUAAAACAAGUGCCUCUGUGUGUGUGUGUGUGUG
Molecule: long non-coding RNA, 863 nt
Filed under: Phascolarctos cinereus (koala)
Lineage: Eukaryota; Metazoa; Chordata; Mammalia; Diprotodontia; Phascolarctidae
Description: lncRNA (ENSPCIG00000012540.2)
Source: RNAcentral